UACGUAGGGUGCAAGCGUUACUCGGAAUUACUGGGCGUAAAGCGUGCGCAGGCGGUUGUGCAAGACCGAUGUGAAAUCCCCGGGCUUAACCUGGGAAUGGCAUUGGUGACUGUACGGCUAGAGUGUGUCAGAGGGGGGUAGAAUUCCACGUGUAGCAGUGAAAUGCGUAGAGAUGUGGAGGAAUACCGAUGGCGAAGGCAGCCCCCUGGGACAACACUGACGCUCAUGCACGAAAGCGUGGGGAGCAAACAGG
RNAcentral lists this ribosomal RNA (253 nucleotides) under uncultured bacterium. RNAcentral's name for it is "partial 16S ribosomal RNA". It matches the Rfam family "Bacterial small subunit ribosomal RNA", at positions 524 to 776 of the family's 1533-position model. The record is from RNAcentral.